GACGAACGCUGGCGGCGUGCUUAACACAUGCAAGUCGAGCGGAAAGGCCCUUCGGGGUACUCGAGCGGCGAACGGGUGAGUAACACGUGAGUAACCUUCCCCAGACUUUGGGAUAACCCUCAGAAACGGGGGCUAAUACCAGUUACGACACAGCUUCCCAUGGGGUCUGUGGGGAAAGUUUUUCGGCUGGGGAUGGGCUCGCGGCCUAUCAGCUUGUUGGUGGGGUUGUGGCCUACCAAGGCGACGACGGGUAGCCGGCCUGAGAGGGCGACCGGCCACACUGGGACUGAGAUACGGCCCAGACUCCUACGGGAGGCAGCAGUGGGGAAUAUUGCACAAUGGGCGGAAGCCUGAUGCAGCGACGCCGCGUGCGGGAUGACGGCCUUCGGGUUGUAAACCUCUUUCAGCAGGGACGAAGCGUAAGUGACGGUAACUGCAGAAGAAGCGCCGGCUAACUACGUG
This 462-nucleotide ribosomal RNA is filed under the name uncultured bacterium. RNAcentral's name for it is "partial 16S ribosomal RNA". It matches the Rfam family "Bacterial small subunit ribosomal RNA", at positions 28 to 507 of the family's 1533-position model. The record is from RNAcentral.